CGAAUCCGAUAUGGAGUACCAAAUAUUAGCAGUGUAGCAUAACUGGCAAUGCACCAGCCUCUGAAGCUGAAUGAUUAAG
Molecule: transfer RNA, 79 nt
Filed under: Citrobacter phage Mijalis
Lineage: Duplodnaviria; Heunggongvirae; Uroviricota; Caudoviricetes; Andersonviridae
Description: tRNA-Leu
Source: RNAcentral